UCGAGGAUCUUCGGCAAUGAGCGCAAGCUUGACCGAGCGACGCCGCGUGUGCGAUGAAGGCCUUCGGGUUGUAAAGCACUUUAGGGGGGGGAGAAAAGCCGAAAGGUGUGAUCUAUCCCCAAAAUAAGCACGGGCUAAGUUCGUGCCAGCAGCCGCGGUAAGACGAACCGUGCGAACGUUGUUCGGAAUCACUGGGCUUAAAGGGAGCGUAGGCGGGCUAUCAAGUCUGGGGUGAAAUCCCACGGCUCAACCGUGGAACUGCCUUAGAUACUGACGGCCUCGAGGGAGAUAGGGGCAUGCGGAACUGUAGGUGGAGCGGUGAAAUGCGUUGAUAUCUACAGGAACUCCGGUGGCGAAAGCGGCGUGCUGGAUCUCUUCUGACGCUGAGGCUCGAAAGCUAGGGGGAGCAAACGGGGAUUAGAUACCCCGGUAGUCCUAGGCCCUAAACGAUGGGUACUAGAUAGUAGGCUGGAUAUGGGCUUACUGUCGAAGCUAAAGUGCUAACG
This 506-nucleotide ribosomal RNA is filed under the name uncultured Planctomycetota bacterium. Its description in RNAcentral is "bacterial SSU rRNA". It matches the Rfam family "Bacterial small subunit ribosomal RNA", at positions 355 to 864 of the family's 1533-position model. The record is from RNAcentral. Lineage: Bacteria; Pseudomonadati; Planctomycetota.